This 1392-nucleotide ribosomal RNA is filed under the name Microbacterium sp. NCCP-284. Its description in RNAcentral is "16S ribosomal RNA". It matches the Rfam family "Bacterial small subunit ribosomal RNA". Lineage: Bacteria; Bacillati; Actinomycetota; Actinomycetes; Micrococcales; Microbacteriaceae. The record is from RNAcentral.
AGUCGAACGGUGAAGCAGAGCUUGCUCUGUGGAUCAGUGGCGAACGGGUGAGUAACACGUGAGCAAUCUGCCCCUGACUCUGGGAUAAGCGCUGGAAACGGCGUCUAAUACCGGAUACGAGCUGCGACCGCAUGGUCAGUAGCUGGAAAGAAUUUCGGUCAGGGAUGAGCUCGCGGCCUAUCAGCUUGUUGGUGAGGUAAUGGCUCACCAAGGCGUCGACGGGUAGCCGGCCUGAGAGGGUGACCGGCCACACUGGGACUGAGACACGGCCCAGACUCCUACGGGAGGCAGCAGUGGGGAAUAUUGCACAAUGGGCGAAAGCCUGAUGCAGCAACGCCGCGUGAGGGAUGACGGCCUUCGGGUUGUAAACCUCUUUUAGCAGGGAAGAAGCGAAAGUGACGGUACCUGCAGAAAAAGCGCCGGCUAACUACGUGCCAGCAGCCGCGGUAAUACGUAGGGCGCAAGCGUUAUCCGGAAUUAUUGGGCGUAAAGAGCUCGUAGGCGGUCUGUCGCGUCUGCUGUGAAAACCCGAGGCUCAACCUCGGGCCUGCAGUGGGUACGGGCAGACUAGAGUGCGGUAGGGGAGAUUGGAAUUCCUGGUGUAGCGGUGGAAUGCGCAGAUAUCAGGAGGAACACCGAUGGCGAAGGCAGAUCUCUGGGCCGUAACUGACGCUGAGGAGCGAAAGGGUGGGGAGCAAACAGGCUUAGAUACCCUGGUAGUCCACCCCGUAAACGUUGGGAACUAGUUGUGGGGUCCAUUCCACGGAUUCCGUGACGCAGCUAACGCAUUAAGUUCCCCGCCUGGGGAGUACGGCCGCAAGGCUAAAACUCAAAGGAAUUGACGGGGACCCGCACAAGCGGCGGAGCAUGCGGAUUAAUUCGAUGCAACGCGAAGAACCUUACCAAGGCUUGACAUAUAGAGGAAACGUCUGGAAACAGUCGCCCCGCAAGGUCUCUAUACAGGUGGUGCAUGGUUGUCGUCAGCUCGUGUCGUGAGAUGUUGGGUUAAGUCCCGCAACGAGCGCAACCCUCGUUCUAUGUUGCCAGCACGUAAUGGUGGGAACUCAUGGGAUACUGCCGGGGUCAACUCGGAGGAAGGUGGGGAUGACGUCAAAUCAUCAUGCCCCUUAUGUCUUGGGCUUCACGCAUGCUACAAUGGCCGGUACAAAGGGCUGCAAUACCGUGAGGUGGAGCGAAUCCCAAAAAGCCGGUCCCAGUUCGGAUUGAGGUCUGCAACUCGACCUCAUGAAGUCGGAGUCGCUAGUAAUCGCAGAUCAGCAACGCUGCGGUGAAUACGUUCCCGGGUCUUGUACACACCGCCCGUCAAGUCAUGAAAGUCGGUAACACCUGAAGCCGGUGGCCCAACCCUUGUGGAGGAGCCGUCGAAGGUGG